Molecule: non-coding RNA, 196 nt
Organism: Myxococcales bacterium 68-20
Lineage: Bacteria; Pseudomonadati; Myxococcota; Myxococcia; Myxococcales
Source: Rfam
GACGUCACCCCGACAAAGCCCACACGGGACAGCGGGAAGCGAGUCUUGCAGCGACGCGGGUGACCGCGGCGGUGAAGCGUAGACAGCGAGCAUGUGGGCCGCGUGAUCGAGCUCCGAGAACCAUACGUGGAGGCCGACGCCGUCAGGAAGGCGGAAGGCAGCACUGCGCGAGCAGCUCCACCGGGGUCAUAGAGCG